UAACAAUGAGAGACUGAAUAACAGUUUUUCAAUUGGAAUGAGAUAUGAGAAGAGAAAAAAGCGAGAAACAAGUGGAGGGCAAGUCUGGUGCCAGCAGCCGCGGUAAUACCAGCUCCACAAGCGUAUAUUAAAGCUGCUGCAGUUAAAACGCUCGUAGUUGUGGUUUCGUUAGCGGAGCGGUCUGUGUCUCAAAAAGACGCGGGCAGUUCUGCUAGUUACAAUCUAGUGUGUGUGUUAACUCAUUCAUACUAAGUAAACCUUGAAGAAAUAUUGACGCUUAAAAUUUGACUUAAGUCAAAGUUCUUUUUGCAUGGGAUUUUGGAAUAUGAGUGGUGGAGUAAAAUCCGCUGCUAAUGACAUUCGAGGAUGAAAGAGGAAGUUAAUAUUUGUGAGUCAGAGGUGAAAUUCUUGGAUUUCACAAAGAUUAACUAAUGCGAAGGCAUUCUUCAAUUGCUUUCCUGUCAAUCAAGAACGAAAGUAAGGGGAUCGAAGACGAUCAGAUACCGUCGUAGUCUUUACAGUAAAUUUUGCCGACAAAGGAAACGGGAAAGACCUAGAAUGCGCCGGGCAACUGGUACAUUUAAUAUCCUCCUGUUUUCUCCCACGAAAGUUUAAGUCUUUGGGUUCUGGGGGGAGUAUGUUCGCAAGGCCGAAACUUAAAGGAAUUGACGGAAAGGCACCACCAGGCGUGGAGCCUGCGGCUUAAUUUGACCCAACACGGGAAAACUUACCAGGUCCAAACAGCGUGAGGAUUGACAGAUUGAGAGCUCUUUCAUGAUUCGUUGGGUGGUGGUGCAUGGCCGUUCUUAGUUGGUGGUGCGAGCUGUCUGGUUGAUUCCGUUAACGAACGAGACCUUUGUGAGAUAAUAGUUGAAUCAAGAUAUUGCGUCAAGGCUGGAGCUCACGUAUUGGGGAAGGAUCCGUUCCUCCCUUUACUCUGGGUUUCAGUUGCAAUCUAGAUUACAACUUCUUUCUCAGACAAAUGAAAAAAAUUCAUUGGAAGUUGGAGGCAAAAACAGGUCUGUGAUGCCCUUCGAUGUUCUGGGCUGCACGCGCGCUACAAUGACAAAGUCAACAAGUUUUUUCCUUGCUUGAAAGGGCUGGGUAAUCUCUAAAACUUUGUCGUAAUAAGGAUCGCUGAUUGAAACUAUUCGGCGUGAAUCAGGAAUGCCUUGUAAUUAUAAGUCAUCAGCUUAUAGUGAAUACGUCCCUGCCUUUUGUACACACCGCCCGUCGCUCCUACCAAUUGGUAUAAACGGUGAAAAGUUCGGAGACAACUUUCGUUCAGAGUCAAAUCUGAUGUUAGAUAUCAAAGUUCUUUAAAUCUUUUGUACUAGAGGAAGGAGAAGUCGUAACAAGGUUUCCGUAGGUGAACCUGCGGAAG
Molecule: ribosomal RNA, 1384 nt
Filed under: metagenome
Description: bacterial SSU rRNA
Rfam family: Eukaryotic small subunit ribosomal RNA
Source: RNAcentral